GACGAACGCUGGCGGCGUGCCUAAUACAUGCAAGUAGAACGCUGAAGAGAGGAGCUUACUCUUCUUGGAUGAGUUGCGAACGGGUGAGUAACGCGUAGGUAACCUGCCUUGUAGCGGGGGAUAACUAUUGGAAACGAUAGCUAAUACCGCAUAACAAUGGAUGACACAUGUCAUUUAUUUGAAAGGGGCAAUUGCUCCACUACAAGAUGGACCUGCGUUGUAUUAGCUAGUAGGUGAGGUAAUGGCUCACCUAGGCGACGAUACAUAGCCGACCUGAGAGGGGGGUCGGCCCCACUGGGACUGGGACCCCGCCCAGGCUCCUACGGGAGGGAGCCGUAGGGGAUCUUCGGCAAUGGGGGCAACCCUGACCGAGCAACGCCGCGUGAGUGAAGAAGGUUUUCGGAUCGUAAAGCUCUGUUGUAAGUCAAGAACGGGUGUGAGAGUUGAAAGUGCACACUGUGACGGUAGCUUACCAGAAAGCGACGGCUAACUACGUG
Molecule: ribosomal RNA, 497 nt
Filed under: uncultured bacterium
Lineage: Bacteria
Description: partial 16S ribosomal RNA
Rfam family: Bacterial small subunit ribosomal RNA
Source: RNAcentral